This 252-nucleotide ribosomal RNA is filed under the name uncultured Bacteroidales bacterium. RNAcentral describes it as "partial 16S ribosomal RNA". It matches the Rfam family "Bacterial small subunit ribosomal RNA", at positions 524 to 776 of the family's 1533-position model. The record is from RNAcentral. Lineage: Bacteria; Pseudomonadati; Bacteroidota; Bacteroidia; Bacteroidales.
UACGGAGGAUGCGAGCGUUAUCCGGAUUUAUUGGGUUUAAAGGGUGCGUAGGCGGCGCUUCAGGUCAGCGGUGAAAUACCGGGGCUCAACCCCGUCGAGCCGUUGAAACUGGCAGACUUGAGUUGGCGAGAAGUACGCGGAAUGCGCGGUGUAGCGGUGAAAUGCAUAGAUAUCGCGCAGAACUCCGAUUGCGAAGGCAGCGUACCGGCGCCAGACUGACGCUGAGGCACGAAAGCGUGGGUAUCGAACAGG